RNAcentral lists this ribosomal RNA (450 nucleotides) under uncultured bacterium. Its description in RNAcentral is "partial 16S ribosomal RNA". It matches the Rfam family "Bacterial small subunit ribosomal RNA", at positions 354 to 796 of the family's 1533-position model. The record is from RNAcentral.
GUGGGGAAUAUUCCGCAAUGGACGAAAGUCUGACGGAGCAACGCCGCGUGAGUGAUGAAGGUUUUCGGACUGUAAAGCUCUGUUGUUUAGGACGAAAGUGCCUGUUGCAAACAGUUACAGGUAUUGACGGUACUAAACGAGGAAGCCACGGCUAACUACGUGCCAGCAGCCGCGGUAAUACGUAGGUGGCAAGCGUUGUCCGGAAUUAUUGGGCGUACAGAGCAUGUAGGCGGGAAUCUAAGUCUGUUGUGAAAAUGCGGGGCUCAACCCCGUAUUGCGAUGGAAACUGGGUUUCUUGAGUGCAGGAGAGGAAAGGGGAAUUCCCAGUGUAGCGGUGAAAUGCGUAGAUAUUGGGAGGAACACCAGUGGCGAAGGCGCCUUUCUGGACUGUGUCUGACGCUGAGAUGCGAAAGCCAGGGUAGCGAACGGGAUUAGAAACCCUGGUAGUCC